UGAUAAGACUGCAUUUCAUCGCUUAAGGGCCCACUUCACGGUAGACAACAUUGUUUUCUAGGGAAAAAAAAAGGGGCCGUAAAACAAAGCUCAGCUAUAUGAAUAUCUAAACUUAAUUAAAAGAACAAGAUGAAGACAUGAUUAAUUAGUAAAAAAUGAAUCCCCUUGAAAAUGUCCACCAAAAUGAAUAAUAGAAGGGCUAAAGAAGUUGAUCCACUCAAUAUCAUAAGAGCAACCACUCCCACAACAAAACUUGGCCUACUAUGCAUCAGCAAAUUUUGUAGCAACCCUACCGCUUCGAAUACAUCUGAAUCAUAAUUCAAGUACCAUUUCUUCUCCCACUCCAUCCAAUUCGGCGGAGGCAGCGGUAGCGCGUGAUUUCCCUCUUCCCUCUUCAUUUGAUGAAUUCUCAUUCUAAGAACAAACAUGUUUUCAUCAACCAAUCUUCCUUUAUCAUGGCCUGCGUCUCUUUUCACUGCAAAAACUGGGCUGUAAACUCUUACAUACACCGGUUUUCGAGGCAUAAAAUUGCCUGAAAAUGGAGUUGGGAGGUGCAGGGAUGGAAGAGCAGAUGUUCGCAUUAUUUUCAUCAACAUAUUUUCGAACAAAUAUGAGUGAUUUGCACGUAUUUGUAUACGGAUAAAGUGAUAGAACAGAAUUUAUAGAGCAGAAUAGAAAGAAUCAAGAUUGAUCAAGUGGGAUUUGGCGUGCUUUUUGGUGGACGAAUUACGUCCCCUUUAUUCAAGAAACAAAUUCUUUACUAGGAUUAUUUAAAUAUAUUGUCUGUGGUGAAAACCCGGAAUCAUAGUCAGAACCCAACCGACCUUACUUUUUGUUUAAUCCAAAAACAGUGUACCUGCUAAGAAGCAAGAGUUGUUAACCAAUACGUCAUUGAAAUGAUAAACCACCUGGACAUUGCAGUUGGUAAGGGCCGAAAAGUCUCUUACACAAAUGUUAUCAUCCGGGGGGAGAUGAUAGGUGUAUAGGGUAAGGGUUCUGCACCUCACAUGAGGGUGGGAGCGAGGAGAAUGGGUUAAUUUUUUAACAUUAUUUAUUUAUGUGGGCCCCAUACUUUUGUGAUAGAUUGUAAACAUUCUGUAAAAAAAAAAAUUCUAUACACCAAUCAUUUUUUAUUAUCCAGACCUGAAAUCAUUUUUGUUGAAAGGGGAACAAUGUUGAUACUAUUUUGUUGAGAAUUCAGCCAAAUAAUUAAAGAACG
RNAcentral lists this long non-coding RNA (1219 nucleotides) under Olea europaea subsp. europaea. Lineage: Eukaryota; Viridiplantae; Streptophyta; Magnoliopsida; Lamiales; Oleaceae. The record is from RNAcentral.